RNAcentral lists this ribosomal RNA (217 nucleotides) under Graphilbum fragrans. RNAcentral's name for it is "partial ribosomal RNA". The record is from RNAcentral. Lineage: Eukaryota; Fungi; Ascomycota; Sordariomycetes; Ophiostomatales; Ophiostomataceae.
AAACGUUUGUGCUGUCCUGUUGCUUUCGGCCGGCGGCUCUUUUGGAGCCCGCAAGGUCCUUGGCGCUUCGGCGCGAGGGGCACCGGCCGGGGGUGGCAGCUCGGCAGUUUGUUUUAAACGCUUGCCUGAUAUUGUGGCUCGUCUGAGCAAAAAGAAAAGACAAAAUAGUCAAAACUUUCAACAACGGAUCUCUUGGUUCUGGCAUCGAUGAAGAACA